Molecule: ribosomal RNA, 1229 nt
Filed under: Escherichia coli
Lineage: Bacteria; Pseudomonadati; Pseudomonadota; Gammaproteobacteria; Enterobacterales; Enterobacteriaceae
Description: partial 23S ribosomal RNA
Rfam family: Bacterial large subunit ribosomal RNA
Source: RNAcentral
GGGUUGUGAGGUUAAGCGACUAAGCGUACACGGUGGAUGCCCUGGCAGUCAGAGGCGAUGAAGGACGUGCUAAUCUGCGAUAAGCGUCGGUAAGGUGAUAUGAACCGUUAUAACCGGCGAUUUCCGAAUGGGGAAACCCAGUGUGAUUCGUCACACUAUCAUUAACUGAAUCCAUAGGUUAAUGAGGCGAACCGGGGGAACUGAAACAUCUAAGUACCCCGAGGAAAAGAAAUCAACCGAGAUUCCCCCAGUAGCGGCGAGCGAACGGGGAGCAGCCCAGAGCCUGAAUCAGUGUGUGUGUUAGUGGAAGCGUCUGGAAAGGCGUGCGAUACAGGGUGACAGCCCCGUACACAAAAAUGCACAUGCUGUGAGCUCGAUGAGUAGGGCGGGACACGUGGUAUCCUGUCUGAAUAUGGGGGGACCAUCCUCCAAGGCUAAAUACUCCUGACUGACCGAUAGUGAACCAGUACCGUGAGGGAAAGGCGAAAAGAACCCCGGCGAGGGGAGUGAAAAAGAACCUGAAACCGUGUACGUACAAGCAGUGGGAGCACAGAGCAAUCUGUGUGACUGCGUACCUUUUGUAUAAUGGGUCAGCGACUUAUAUUCUGUAGCAAGGUUAACCGAAUAGGGGAGCCGAAGGGAAACCGAGUCUUAACUGGGCGUUAAGUUGCAGGGUAUAGACCCGAAACCCGGUGAUCUAGCCAUGGGCAGGUUGAAGGUUGGGUAACACUAACUGGAGGACCGAACCGACUAAUGUUGAAAAAUUAGCGGAUGACUUGUGGCUGGGGGUGAAAGGCCAAUCAAACCGGGAGAUAGCUGGUUCUCCCCGAAAGCUAUUUAGGUAGCGCCUCGUGAAUUCAUCUCCGGGGGUAGAGCACUGUUUCGGCAAGGGGGUCAUCCCGACUUACCAACCCGAUGCAAACUGCGAAUACCGGAGAAUGUUAUCACGGGAGACACACGGCGGGUGCUAACGUCCGUCGUGAAGAGGGAAACAACCCAGACCGCCAGCUAAGGUCCCAAAGUCAUGGUUAAGUGGGAAACGAUGUGGGAAGGCCCAGACAGCCAGGAUGUUGGCUUAGAAGCAGCCAUCAUUUAAAGAAAGCGUAAUAGCUCACUGGUCGAGUCGGCCUGCGCGGAAGAUGUAACGGGGCUAAACCAUGCACCGAAGCUGCGGCAGCGACGCUUAUGCGUUGUUGGGUAGGGGAGCGUUCUGUAAGCCUGCGAAGGUG